RNA transcript from Lycium ferocissimum, 1404 nucleotides. It is a transcript of the gene named protein FATTY ACID EXPORT 1, chloroplastic-like, with no coding region annotated. The record is from RefSeq and is a predicted model, not a curated record. The transcript has 7 exons. Lineage: Eukaryota; Viridiplantae; Streptophyta; Magnoliopsida; Solanales; Solanaceae.
GCCCAACACGCAACAACAGAAAUCUAACUGAUCAAUCAUUUUUUACUUUCUCACAUUCAUAAACACAACUUUGAAUAAUUCCAAUAUUUCUCUUUAAAAAAAGAAAAUCAAAGUGAAUCAAGUAUGUCAUCAGCAAGUUCUCAACUAUCAUGCUUCUCCUCUAUCAAUCACAGAUUGCUUUUCCACACUCAUCUCCACCCUUUUUGGGUUUGUGGAGUGAGCGACACUCUAUCUGGAAUGUAUAUUCACUUACACAUCUUCAUUUGUCAUGGAGUUCAGGUAGUGGUUGUGAGAAAUGAUGGUCGUGGUAUGGAUUUAUCCAAUUUAGAAAACAAGACUACUUUAGGUUAUACUAGAGAUGCAUCACAAUCACAUAACGGAAGCUUAUCAAAUUCAAAUUUAAAGUCAGAAGAACUUGUUCCAGGAAAAGAAAUGAAUGGGUCAGUGCAGGAAAACUCCAUCAGUCAUUCAAAAAAGACAGCCAGAACUCAUGACUUCUGUUUUGGUAUUCCCUUUGGUGGUCUUGUUUUCACCGGGGGCAUUGUUGGUUUUAUUUUCUCAAGAAAUCCUGCGACUUUAAGUAAUGGUGUUCUUUUUGGAGGUGCUUUACUGGCCUUCAGCACCAUUAGCUUGAGGGUCUGGAGACAAGGAAAAUCUAGCUUGCCAUUCAUAGUGGGUCAAUCAGUACUUGCUGCAGUCCUUCUAUGGAAAAACAUGCAGACUUUCUCUCUGACAAGAAAAGUGUUUCCCACUGGCUUUUAUGCUGCCAUCAGUGCUGCAAUGUUUUGCUUCUACUCUUACGUGGUAUUGUCUGGGGGAAAUCCACCACCCAAGAAGCUGAAGGUAUCUGCUGCUGGAGAAUUUUGACGAGAAUCUAGAAAGGUCAGAUUUAAUUCUUAGAAUUACUAGGAAUUUUCACUCCCUGUGCACAGUUGGUUUGCCAGCGAGAAGACCCAUUAAUUUGCGCAAUUUUACAUUGAAAAUGAUGAGGGAGUUUUAAUUGUACUUCAUCUUGAAUAUGUAUUAUUGAUUUUGGGUUAUACUUAGCACUGUAGGAAAUUGUAAUGUAGAGACUUGCUGGUGGAAUUGAGUGUUCAUUUUUCAUGUAAAUUAUGUAUGGAUCAGUUCACAAGUUUCAUGCUGCUUUGACAUUGGAUAUUCUAAUGGAAUAGAAUGUUCGAAUAUUUGUGGGAUUAAAUUAGUGAUUUUGAUUGCCUCAAGGCUUUGAACUAUGGGUAAGAGCACAUCGAGUGAUGUAUAUUUUAGGCGCUCGUCACGACUAGUGAUAAAAACACAGUGCAUGAUGCAUUAACUGUUUAAAUCUUGCCACAAACAAAAACUUAGUAUUUAAGUGAAGAAUUGUAAAGGAAUGAGUCUAUUAUUCACCAAGUUUCAAGUGGUGCA